RNAcentral lists this unclassified non-coding RNA (331 nucleotides) under soil metagenome. Its description in RNAcentral is "partial contains 5.8S ribosomal RNA, internal transcribed spacer 2, and large subunit ribosomal RNA". The stretch from base 1 to 120 matches the Rfam family "5.8S ribosomal RNA", at positions 35 to 154 of the family's 154-position model. The record is from RNAcentral.
GAUGAAGAACGUAGCGAAAUGCGAUAAGUAGUGUGAAUUGCAGAAUUCAGUGAAUCAUCGAAUCUUUGAACGCACAUUGCGCCCUUUGGUAUUCCGGGGGGCAUGCCUGUUCGAGCGUCAUUUCACCACUCAAGCCUCGCUUGGUAUUGGGCAACGCGGUCCGCCGCGUGCCUCAAAUCGACCGGCUGGGUCUUCUGUCCCCUAAGCGUUGUGGAAACUAUUCGCUAAAGGGUGUUCGGGAGGCUACGCCGUAAAACAACCCCAUUUCUAAGGUUGACCUCGGAUCAGGUAGGGAUACCCGCUGAACUUAAGCAUAUCAAUAAGCGGAGGA